Molecule: long non-coding RNA, 927 nt
Filed under: Daphnia pulicaria
Lineage: Eukaryota; Metazoa; Arthropoda; Branchiopoda; Diplostraca; Daphniidae
Description: uncharacterized LOC124314505, transcript variant X1
Source: RNAcentral
GUGUAGGUAACUGUGGAUCCUGUAAAAUAAAACACCAGAAGAUCCAGAAUUCACAGAAUUUUGGGAAAUACUUUCCUUUUCCUAUAACCAAAAAGAUUUGAGAUAAUGAUGGAUCUGUGCAAAAACAUAUUUCAAAUGAAGAUGCCAGUUAUGCAAAGGAAGAAAACCUGAUUGAAAAAAUUGCACACAAAAAAGAUCUCAGUGAUUUCUAGAGUCCAAAAUUGUAGGUGGAGAAGAAAGCAGUGAUAAACUAGUAAAACUGAUUACGAAGAAAGAAAAAACUCAGAAAGACUACAGGCACUUGAAAGUCAGGGGAUUUUCUUGUCAAAUUAAAAAAUAAGACAUGAAAGACUUUUUCACUCCCCUUAACUUGGAUUCAAUCUGGCUCCCUUCCAAAGUGAAAGGUGUUGGAUUUUCCUCUGAAAAAGACAUGAAAAAAGCUUUGAACAAGGAUUGAAGUUUCUACGUUGGUCAAGAAAAAGUCCCAAAGAACCCUGGGAACGAGAAGAAAACGAUGUGAAGAAGGUAGAAACUGUUGCCGAAUCUGACAGUGCUCAUACCGCCCUCGAACUCGUACCGUACCAUAUACCAUGAACUCAUACCGUAAGCAAGUGAACUCACCAAUAAAAAAAUGAUGAGGAAAGUUGUUAAAAACAGACGCAGUAGGUGGAGAUAAGAACUUUAUUAAUAACCUAUAAUCCUACAAUUCCUCAUAUAAUCCUAUGACCUAUUACAUAUGAUUCCUUAAACACCAUUAGCAAUUGUUAACCCUUUUCAAUGUAACACAUAAUUAGCAAUAUAAACACGAUCUAAAUAUUUAUAUGUAACAAACCUUUUUUGUGUGUUAUCUGAUAACAAAAAAGAAAUUUGAACAGUGUUUAAAUUUUUGUACUUCUUUCUUUAACAUAUGAAAUUAUAAUCAUCUCA